RNAcentral lists this long non-coding RNA (1402 nucleotides) under Piliocolobus tephrosceles (Ugandan red Colobus). RNAcentral's name for it is "lncRNA (ENSPTEG00000010728.1)". Lineage: Eukaryota; Metazoa; Chordata; Mammalia; Primates; Cercopithecidae. The record is from RNAcentral.
AUGGAGUAUAAAAAAACUAAAAGAGUGGGUCAAUACGUGUAUAAAGGUAGUAGACAUGAAAAUAAGAGACAAAAAAUGAAUGUUAACGCAGAAUGUAAAGGAUUAUUAAUAUCGCCAGUGUCUUACAGAAAAACCAGUAGUAGUAUAAAAGAAAUUAUAAAUUAUUUAAAUAAACAUUAUCCUUUAAAUAAAGAUAAAAUUUGUAUAAAUGGUGAUAGUAAACAUAACAAUGAAAAUGAGAAUGACAAAACUAACGGUAUAAGUAACGAAAAAACAAUUGACAUAAAUAAAAGUGUAGAAAAUAAUGAUGAAGAUGAAGAGAAAUUUAGUAAAAUGGAACAACAACUGAAUGAAGAGAUUAAAGAAGCUAAAUUAGAUUAUGAUCGAUUUGUACCUCUUAAAAAUAUCGUAAAACAUUUUACUCUUAUAAAAUUUAAUAAUGCAGAAGAAAAAACACCAUCAGAUAUUGUUCAUGACAUAUUUUCAGAAGCACAAACUAAAAAAGAAAAGUUUUUUUUCAGGAAUAUAUGCAAAUUAAUGCCACUUGAUAAUAUUUGUAAACCACAUAUUACCAAUUUAAUAAAAAUAUUAUUACCAUUAUUAAAGGAUAAUUUUACCAAAAGUAUAUGUGUCGAGCAAAAUUUCACUUAUACUAUUUUAUUAAAUAUGUUAGGACUAACUGAGCAGUUGGUAAAAGAAAAUGAAGAAAAUGAAGAAAAUGAAGAAAAUGAAGAAAAUGAAGAAAAAGAAGAAAAGGAAGAAAAAGAAGAAAAGGAAGAAAAGGAAGAAAAGGAAGAAAAAGAAGAAAAAGAAGAAAAUGAAAAAAAGGAAGAAAAGGAAGAAAAAGAAAAAAAUGAAGAAAAAGAAAAAAAUGAAGAAAAAGAAAAAAAGGAAGCUCAGUUAAAUGGGACAAACACGUUAAAAGAAAAUGAAAUUGAGAAAGAGAAGGAGGACGAGAAAAAGGAUGAGAACGUAGAAGUUGAAACACAAGAUGGUCAUACAAAAGAGAAUGGGAAGUGUGAGGAAGUGGUUAAAAAGGCUUCUGAAGUAGCAACAGUAACCAAAGUAGCAGAGGCAGAUAAAGCAGUUGAAGUACCCGAAAAAAAAAAAACCUAUGCGUUAAUAUAUAAAUGUACACGCAAUAAUACAUUAUCUAAAUCAAUAGUAAUAAAAGUGUUGGAUAAAUGUAUUGGAAAUAACUAUAAAGUAAAUUUGACUAAACCUGAUUUAGCAAUAUUUGUUUAUGUAACUGAGAUUAUGUGUGGAGUAAGUAUAGUUAAAGAUUAUGGUGACAUGAAAAAAUUCAACAUUUCUGCUUUUAAUAUCAAUUACAAUAACGAGGAUCAUUAGUUUUAAUUUUAUAAUUAAUAAACAGCACUUCUGUGCGAGUACUUUUUUGGGG